This 253-nucleotide ribosomal RNA is filed under the name uncultured bacterium. RNAcentral describes it as "partial 16S ribosomal RNA". It matches the Rfam family "Bacterial small subunit ribosomal RNA", at positions 524 to 776 of the family's 1533-position model. The record is from RNAcentral.
UACGUAGGGUGCGAGCGUUAAUCGGAAUUACUGGGCGUAAAGCGUGCGCAGGCGGUUUUGUAAGCCAGAUGUGAAAUCCCCGGGCUUAACCUGGGAACUGCGCUUGUAACUGAGAGGCUAGAGUGUGGCAGAGGGGGGUGGAAUUCCACGUGUAGCAGUGAAAUGCGUAGAUAUGUGGAGGAACACCGAUGGCGAAGGCAGCCCCCUGGGCUAACACUGACGCUCAUGCACGAAAGCGUGGGGAGCAAACAGG